UACGGAGGGAGCUAGCGUUGUUCGGAAUUACUGGGCGUAAAGCGCACGUAGGCGGCUUUGUAAGUUAGAGGUGAAAGCCCGGGGCUCAACUCCGGAACUGCCUUUAAGACUGCAUCGCUUGAAUCCAGGAGAGGUGAGUGGAAUUCCGAGUGUAGAGGUGAAAUUCGUAGAUAUUCGGAAGAACACCGGUGGCGAAGGCGGUUCUCUGGGCCUUACCUGACGCUGAGGAGCGAAAGUGUGGGGAGCGAACAGG
RNAcentral lists this ribosomal RNA (253 nucleotides) under uncultured bacterium. RNAcentral's name for it is "partial 16S ribosomal RNA". It matches the Rfam family "Bacterial small subunit ribosomal RNA", at positions 524 to 776 of the family's 1533-position model. The record is from RNAcentral.